Molecule: long non-coding RNA, 1460 nt
Organism: Pieris napi
Lineage: Eukaryota; Metazoa; Arthropoda; Insecta; Lepidoptera; Pieridae
Exons: 2
Source: RefSeq, a predicted model, not a curated record
UUUACCUACAUGUGCCUAAAGAACUUUCACUUCAAAAAGAUGCGGAAGUUUUACAACACGUUUUUAUCAGUCAAAUCAACACAAAAUUAAAAAAAUUCAAAAUCAUUGAAACGUUGUGAACGUUUUAAUCCGGUAAAAAGUUAUACGUAUCAUAUAAGGCUAAAUGUUUGCUUUAUUAAGCUGGGUAAAGUCCCGCGUUGAUAACUAAAUCGUAUGACUAAGUGUGAAUACAUAUGAUAUUAUUCCUGGAAUCUCAAUAGGUAAACACUCAAUAAAGAUAAUUAUUUAAUAGAGACGCCAUAGAAAUUCUUGUCAAAAGAUAUUACUUAUUAAUUAUUGUAAUAUGAAUACUUAUAAACCAAGAUAAACUCAUAGAUCUAAAUAAAUAUAUUUUAUCAAGAUAUUUCAAAAUUAAUCUGACUAUUUGUACGAUUGCUUUUCUAGCUACAAAAUAAUGCGUAAAAACAUUUACAAUCAACAAUCAGUAAUUCAAGUCAAAUACUCCGAGUUAUUACGUUUUAAUACCGGCCAUAUCUUAAAAUAAAGCCUGUAUGUAUGCUUCGAAAACAAAACCAAUUUACUUACUGUUCUCCACGACUUGGCAUUUUCAUUAAAUUAUACAUAUUAUAACUGUUUAAUGUAUAAUCUAUUGUCGUUUUAUCAGUACAAGGAAACUGAAUUACGGCCUAAUUUAAAUGAGUAAAGCCGCACUGAGCCGCACAAAGGCGCCUUUUGCAAACAUUUUAAUAAUAAUCUUAUCACAGAAGUAUUUCCAAGUACCUAUCGUUAUAAAGGAACAAUGUUAUCACGCCACACACAUUCAUUCUGUUAAAGAUCAAAUUUGCGUGAGUUGAAACAUUUUAUCAACUUGCAAUUCAGUAAAAGAGAAAUUGACUCCGGGUAUUCCCUCUACAUCCAAUAUUUAUAUACUCCUCGAGUAACUGGUUGUAGAAACCCGUAUGUGACUUGUAAUAUAACAUAGCUAUUCAUUGCUUACUGUCGAUGUAUCUGCUCAAGCCGUGUGCGUGGUAACGGCACGGUGUUUACGAUAUGCGAUAAUAUCGUGACGAUAUAUUUGUUGAUAACAUCGUGGUACAGGUCAAAAGGCAAUGCAUCUGAGUAUGGAGGUAUAUAAAUAACUCAAUCUGUGCUGUCAUUUUACAGAUUUCAAUUGGUUUCCACGAUGAAGACGUUUGUAUUUCUUGCUGUUCUAUUUGUGGUAGUCGCUUUUGUAGCUUCUACGGACGACACAGAGGGAAGUGUCAAUACAAUGAUCAAACGACUACCAAGGGACACAAUCUUUGUGAAACCACCCCCUGGAUGUGGGAUGCCAUUUUGGGAAUGCAGAAACCGUUGCAUCCGCAGUGGUCACCUCAGUGGAGGGUAUUGCACAAUGACUGGUUGUGUAUGUCUUCGAUAGAUCAAAAGGAAUAAAAGUUUCUUAAUGACGCAAUUUUAAA